RNAcentral lists this ribosomal RNA (195 nucleotides) under Enterobacter cloacae. Its description in RNAcentral is "partial 16S ribosomal RNA". It matches the Rfam family "Bacterial small subunit ribosomal RNA", at positions 1349 to 1533 of the family's 1533-position model. The record is from RNAcentral. Lineage: Bacteria; Pseudomonadati; Pseudomonadota; Gammaproteobacteria; Enterobacterales; Enterobacteriaceae.
UCAGAAUGCUACGGUGAAUACGUUCCCGGGCCUUGUACACACCGCCCGUCACACCAUGGGAGUGGGUUGCAAAAGAAGUAGGUAGCUUAACCUUCGGGAGGGCGCUUACCACUUUGUGAUUCAUGACUGGGGUGAAGUCGUAACAAGGUAACCGUAGGGGAACCUGCGGUUGGAUCACCUCCUUACCUUAAAGAA